Long non-coding RNA from Oncorhynchus tshawytscha (Chinook salmon), 2076 nucleotides. RefSeq lists it as uncharacterized. The record is from RefSeq and is a predicted model, not a curated record. The transcript is spliced from 3 exons. NCBI's taxonomy places the organism in Eukaryota, Metazoa, Chordata, Actinopteri, Salmoniformes, Salmonidae.
GUUCCUAGGCUGUCAUUGAAAAUAAGAAUUUGUUCUUAACUGACUUGCCUAGUUAAAUAAAUAAAAUCGAGGAUUAUAUCAUUUAAUAUAUGUUCCUGUUUUGAUAUGCAUUUAUAAUUAUAUUGGACAUGUUAUCCGUUAUCACAUGCCAGUAUGUGUUUCGUAUCCCAGUGCAUGUAGCUCACAUUAGGAUGAAGUAGCCUAGGCCUUCUGAUGCCUAGGCCUUCUGAUGCCUAGGCCUUCUGAUGCCUAGGCCUUCUGAUGCCUAGGCCUUCUGAUGCCUAGGCCUUCUGAUGCCUAGGCCUUCUGAUGCCUAGGCCUUCUGAUGCCUAGGCCUUCUGAUGCCUAGGCCUUCUGAUGCCUAGGCCUUCUGAUGCCUAGGCCUUCUGAUCUAGUCAGAUUGCAUCAUAUCACCUUUCAAUACUAGUAAUCAACUAAUAUAGAAGUUAUCUUGAACAAUCGUUGUCAUUUUAAUAAUAUGCACGGGUUUGGUAUUCGUAAGAAUGAAUCACAAUGCAAGCCUACUCAUUACAAAAAUACUAUAUUAUUUUCACAGUGAAACACCACUAUUCUGGCUAUUAAUCAUUCUUAAUACGGUCAUUAAAAUAGCUAAAUAACAUAUCUAAAAAAAUGUAUAGGCAAUAUGAUAUCAUGCAAGUUUGCCUGUUAAAGUCUACAACUUGUAUUCGGUGCAUAUGAUUAAAUUUGACAAUGUAGCAGCAGUCUAGGCAAUACAGAGGAGGAACUUAUAUCAUACAACCAUUAUUCUGGUUGGUGUCAACUUCAUCAUUUAACAUCAUUUAAGGGACUGAAGAGAUUGACUCUGUUACUUGAUGUUUGUGUCUGAUAUUUGCAUUUUUGGUGUAGUUGUUCACUGAAUUCCUAACAGUAGUUACUCACGCUGGUACAGUGGCUACAAACGUCUCGCGCUCGGUGGAAUCUGUUAUCACAUGAUGCUGCCUUUGAAUCGCAUCCCACGUGUCAGUAACCGACGGGAAAAGUGUUACCUACUAAGGUAGCAGCCGUUGGAGGCAGGGAGACGGCAGUCUUUGGAGGCAGGGAGACGGCAGUCUUUGGAGGUAGACAGGGAGACGGCGGUCUUUGGAGGUAGACAGGGAGACGGCAGCCUUUGGAGGCAGGGAGACGGCAGACUUUGGAGGUAGACAGGGAGACGGCAGUCUUUGGAGGUAGACAGGGAGACGGCAGUCUUUGGAGGUAGACAGGGAGACGGCAAUCUUUGGAGGUAGACAGGGAGACGGCAGUCUUUGGAGGCAGGGAGACGGCAGCCUUUGGAGGUAGACAGGGAGACGGCAGCCUUUGGAGGUAGACAGGGAGACGGCGGUCUUUGGAGGUAGACAGGAGACGGCAGCCUUUGGAGGCAGGGAGACGGCAGCCUUUGGAGGCAGGGAGACGGCAGACUUUGGAGGCAGGAGACGGCAGUCUUUGGAGGUAGACAUGGAGACGGCAGUCUUUGGAGGCAGGGAGACGGCAGACUUUGGAGGCAGGGAGACGGCAGUCUUUGGAGGUAGACAGGAGACGGCAGUCUUUGGAGGCAGGGAGACGGCAGUCUUUGGAGGCAGGAGACGGCAGUCUUUGGAGGUAGACAGGGAGACGGCAGCCUUUGGAGGCAGGGAGACGGCAGACUUUGGAGGCAGGGAGACGGCAGUCUUUGGAGGUAGACAGGGAGACGGCAGCCUUUGGAGGCAGGGAGACGGCAGACUUUGGAGGCAGGGAGACGGCAGUCUUUGGAGGUAGACAGGGAGACGGCAGUCUUUGGAGGUAGACAGGGAGACGGCAGCCUUUGGAGGCAGGAAGACGGCAGCCUUUGGAGGCAGGGAGACGGCAGCCUUUGGAGGCAGGGAGACGGCAGCCUUUAGAGGCAGGGAGACGGCAGCCUUUGGAGGUAGACAGGUAGACGGCAGUCUUUGGAGGUAGACAAGGAGACGGCAGUCUUUGGAGGUAGACAGGGAGUCGGCAGUCUUUGGAGGUAGACAGGGAGACGGCAGUCUUUGGAGGUAGACAGGGAGACGGCAGCCUUUGGAGGCAGGGAGACGGCAGCCUUUGGAGGUAGACAGG